RNAcentral lists this small nuclear RNA (126 nucleotides) under Otolemur garnettii (small-eared galago). RNAcentral describes it as "U4 spliceosomal RNA". It matches the Rfam family "U4 spliceosomal RNA". Rfam says of the family: U4 small nuclear RNA (U4 snRNA) is a component of the major U2-dependent spliceosome. The record is from Rfam by way of RNAcentral. Lineage: Eukaryota; Metazoa; Chordata; Mammalia; Primates; Galagidae.
ACCUUUGUGCAGUGGCAGUAUUGUAGACAAUGAGGUUUAUCUGAGGGGCAAUUAUUGCUAAUUAAAUAUUAAACAUCUUGUUUACAGUUUCCAAGCUUUUAUUACAUCAUUUAAAAUACAAAUGUA